GUGACUGCAGUUUUUGACACUCUGUUUGGCACAGUAGCACUAUGUACUCAUGGCUGUUAGUAACAGAUGGAAACAGAUUUCUCUGGAGUUAUUAAGAUCUUUGCAUCAAAGAAGCAAUCAUUCUGCUGUGAUUCCCGUGGAGGAACAUGAACACCAUAAAGUGGGUUCAGGUGAGGACAGAGAACCAAGAGGCAACAGAAAGGACCAUAGUGAAAGCCUUUUCUUGGUGAAACCAGUUUCACUGAUUCUUUCAGUGAAAGAGCUUAGAAGUUAAUAGCAUGACUACACCCUGCACUCAUUUUAAUUUUAGCAUACAUAUUUAUGUCUAAGUUAGCAAUAGAGGAAAAAUUAUAUAGCUCUCAUUCUGCAUUGUGUCUCUUUUCAGUUUGUUGUCUUCAUAUAUAAAGUGAAGUUAAAGAACUCUCUCCAAAUACAUUCAGACAUUUGGGUCAGGAGGACCUCUAUUCUUUUACAGGCAAAAUUUGAUUACCCCAGGGACCAGGUCAAAAGAGGCUCUCUUUAAAAUUCAAAUAUGUGAAAUUGGAAUCAUUUGUGAAAUAUGAUAUAUGGCUGUGAAAUUCUAUAUUUUCAUCCACUCUACUAUAUGGCUGCCUAGGAUCUACCUAUAUUAUAUUCUAGAGAUAUUAGCAUCUCAACAAACAUUAAUGAUCUCAUCACUUAAUGGCUUCAGUAUUUCAGUUCAUUGUGUUGAUGUUUCCAUCUUGAACUUAUUCAGAGUCCCUCAUUGAAAAAAGAUAAUUAAUGAUUAAUAUGUGACCAAAGCUACUCUUUAUACCUAGCUAGACUUUUCUAGACACCACACUGUGGCUCAUCAGCUCCAGAAAACAUUUGGAUUAUUAACACUUAAGACCCUCUGAGUCACUCAACUGUCCCAGAUAAAUGAAUUGUCCUCCAUCUCUCUGCCUGAGAGUGUUUUCUGACCAUAGAAUUUGUUAUGUCCUAGUAGUAGAGGCUGGAGUGUGACCUCAGGAAUGACCCUCAACUAAUAAGGGGUGGUAGCUGGUGGGCAAACACCUAGCUUUCUUCCUGUUGCUGGGACAGUUCUAAGGAAUAUUCUGCACAGCUUGUUAAAAGAUCUCAGUGGGACUGAGCCCAGAUUUCCACCGAAGUAAUCUGCUCAUUCACACACUCUGUGUUGUCUUCUUCCCCCUUCAUUUUACUUCCCUAUUUCUUCCUCUCCUUCCUGGGGUCACUUCCCAAAUAAACCACUUGCCCCCCCACCCCAGUUCUUGUCUAAGUCUGCUAACCCAAAAUGAGACAUCCUCCUGUUUUGUUUUGUUUUGUUUUUUUCUUCCUAGCUUACAGAAAAACACUUUCCAAAUUAAAAGAUUUUUAAAGAGAUUGUGUUUAAAGGAAUCUACUUAUGUUUUGUCACCAGUGAGAUUACUGAUUUGGGGAAUGUAAUGGAAUUGCGAAAAAGAUGUGGGAAGGAUGGUAGUGAUAGGACUCAAUGGCCAGAAGAUGCACAUUUCUAGUAAAAUUCCUGGGUGGGCAUCUUUAUGGCAUAUGCUGCAUGCUGCCACGUACUUAAGACUGUAUUUUUUCUCUCUCUCUCUCUCUGUGUGAGUGUGAUGAAGAUUCACCUUGUUCUUGUACAGAUCUGUUUCUAGUCCAAAAAAUUUGAUGCUAGGAAAGUUCUAUCAGGAAGCUGGUAAGAAAACACUUGGAUUAUUAACACUUAAGACCCUUUGAGUCACUCAUCUGUCCAGGAUAAAUGAGGUAUCCUCCUCUAAUGUUUAUAUUGUCUACAGUAAGCAUUGUGAUCCUGCUUUAAAGCUCACAUUGAAAUUAAGGCCAGGAUAUUGGAAGUAAAAAUCCAUGAAACCUCCAUCUUCUACAGUGUACAUUUAUUCUUAGGUGUGUGUGUGUGUGUGUGUGUGUGUGUGUGUGUGUUAUCAAAAGAGACCCUUAACCUAAAAAUCAGAUUAACCAGUGACUCAUGGAUCUUUAGGAAUAGUUUUAAAAUUUUUAUUGUAAAUCUGCUAUAGAAAUGUUUGUUCUGGAAAUUCCCUUCUGGGGCAGGGGAUAAGAAUCUGGGUUUUGCUGCAGCUGUGGUGCAGGUGGCAACUGCGGCACAGAUUUGAUCCCUGGCCUAGGAAAUUCCACAUGAUGUGGGUGCAGCCAAAAAGAAAAGAGAGAGAGAGAGAGAUGUUUGCUCCAACAAUCCUCUUCUUCAAGAGAAAAAAAAAAAAAAAAAAAAAAAAAAAAA
This 2230-nucleotide long non-coding RNA is filed under the name Sus scrofa (pig). Its description in RNAcentral is "lncRNA (ENSSSCG00040051597.1)". Lineage: Eukaryota; Metazoa; Chordata; Mammalia; Artiodactyla; Suidae. The record is from RNAcentral.